UGCAAGUAGCUCGUGAGGAAUAUGAUGAGGAAGCUAUACUGUGUGUUUUCCGGUUGAAGUCCCUGAAGCAAGGGCAAGCCCGAAGUUUUCUAACACAAGCAACUCGCCACCAUGCUGCUCAGUUGAACUUCUUCCGGAAAGGACUCAAGUCACUUGAGGCUGUCAAGCCACAUGUUAGGUUGGUUACAGAGGAGGAAGGUGAUGAGAGUGUUCGCAGGGUUUAGAUGAUGAGGAAGGUGAUGAGAGUGGUCAUGCAACCGGGAGUUAGAAUGAGAACCCCGGUGUCAAUCCCA
This 293-nucleotide long non-coding RNA is filed under the name Rosa chinensis. Its description in RNAcentral is "sRNA RchiOBHm_Chr7g0220431". The record is from RNAcentral. Lineage: Eukaryota; Viridiplantae; Streptophyta; Magnoliopsida; Rosales; Rosaceae.